Irineochytrium annulatum is the source of this 73-nucleotide non-coding RNA. The record is from the annotation of a GenBank genome assembly. NCBI's taxonomy places the organism in Eukaryota, Fungi, Chytridiomycota, Chytridiomycetes, Chytridiales, Chytridiaceae.
GCCUUCUUAGCUCAGCGGUAGUAGCGUCUGCCUCGUAAGCAGAAGGUCGGGUGUUCAAUCCACCCAGAAGGCA